RNAcentral lists this long non-coding RNA (646 nucleotides) under Capsicum annuum. Its description in RNAcentral is "long non-coding RNA (CANN_LNC009503)". The record is from RNAcentral. Lineage: Eukaryota; Viridiplantae; Streptophyta; Magnoliopsida; Solanales; Solanaceae.
UUUGAUAUGAUUAUAGUUGAUAUGUACCGGGGGUAGCCUAAUGGUCACAGUAUGGUACAGUAUUGAUUAUUGUUAGGUGGUUGGAGGUUCGGGAGGAGGAGGUAAUGGCGAAUGAUAAUUGUAAAGAAUGAAAUGAACGAAUGUAUACCGUUCCACAAAUGUGUUUGAAUUCAAGAACCCAAUUCAGAUUAAUGAUAAGAUAAUGUACAUGAUCCUAAAAGUGUUUAUGAAGUGUGGUUCACUUCUAUUAUGAUUUAUUCACUUGCGUCUGAUUUUCUUGAUCCCCCAUACCAUAUAUGAUUAUUUACAGCUUUACAUACUCAGUACAUAUUUCGUACUGAUGUCCCUCACGGGGACCUGCAUUUCAUGCUGCAGGCACAGGUGCUUCAGCUCAUUCACAGCAUAGAUAGGAGCCAGGUCAUACAGCUAUUGUUGGUGAGCUCUAGUUUGCUUCGGAGCUUUCCGAGUCGGUCCCUUAUGUUUUGUUAUUGUACAGGAGUCAUGUGUGGGCGGGGGUUUGUCCUGACCCAAGUUAUGUCAUGUAUAUCCUAGAGGCUUUGUAGACAUAAGGAAGGGUAAAGUCAUGGAAGUUUAUAUAGUGAUGUUAUAUUUGUAUAUGUGAUGGCCCCGACGGCCAAGUAUUAUA